Molecule: ribosomal RNA, 496 nt
Filed under: uncultured bacterium
Lineage: Bacteria
Description: partial 16S ribosomal RNA
Rfam family: Bacterial small subunit ribosomal RNA
Source: RNAcentral
AUGAACGCUGGCGGCGUGCCUAAUACCUGCAAGUCGAGCGCACAGACGAGGAGCUUGCUCCUCUGACGUUAGCGGCGGACGGGUGAGUAACACGUGGAUAACCUACCUAUAAGACUGGGAUAACUUCGGGAAACCGGAGCUAAUACCGGAUAAUAUAUUGAACCGCAUGGUUCAAUAGUGAAAGACGGUUUUGCUGUCACUUAUAGAUGGAUCCGCGCCGCAUUAGCUAGUUGGUAAGGUAACGGCUUACCAAGGCAACGAUGCGUAGCCGACCUGAGAGGGUGAUCGGCCACACUGGAACUGAGACACGGUCCAGACUCCUACGGGAGGCAGCAGUAGGGAAUCUUCCGCAAUGGGCGAAAGCCUGACGGAGCAACGCCGCGUGAGUGAUGAAGGUCUUCGGAUCGUAAAACUCUGUUAUUAGGGAAGAACAAAUGUGUAAGUAACUAUGCACGUCUUGACGGUACCUAAUCAGAAAGCCACGGCUAACUACGAG